AUUGAACGCUGGCGGCAUGCCUUACACAUGCAAGUCGAACGGUAACAGGUCUUCGGAUGCUGACGAGUGGCGAACGGGUGAGUAAUGCAUCGGAACGUGCCCAGUAGGGGGGGAUAGCCCGGCGAAAGCCGGAUUAAUACCGCAUACGACCUGAGGGUGAAAGGGGGGGAUCGCAAGACCUCUCGCCAUUGGAGCGGCCGAUGUCAGAUUAGCUAGUUGGUGGGGUAAAGGCCUACCAAGGCAACGAUCUGUAGUUGGUCUGAGAGGACGACCAGCCACACUGGGACUGAGACACGGCCCAGACUCCUACGGGAGGCAGCAGUGGGGAAUUGUGGACAAUGGGCGCAAGCCUGAUCCUGCAAUGCCGCGUGCAGGAAGAAGGCCUUCGGGUUGUAAACUGCUUUUGUCAGGGAAGAAAUCUUCUGGGUUAAUACCUCGGGAGGAUGACGGUACCUGAAGAAUAAGCACCGGCUAACUACGUGCCAGCCGCCGCCGUAA
This 498-nucleotide ribosomal RNA is filed under the name uncultured bacterium. RNAcentral describes it as "partial 16S ribosomal RNA". It matches the Rfam family "Bacterial small subunit ribosomal RNA", at positions 30 to 523 of the family's 1533-position model. The record is from RNAcentral.